AUGCCUCAGCCGCACACGCCUAAGCCGCAGCAGUCAAGCAUUCCUACAAGACUUCCUGCAUCGGGAUCUUGCUUCAAGUGCCAGAAAUCUAGCCACUAGGCCAAGAAAUGCCCGCAGCCCAGGAUUCCUCCUCAGCAGUAUCCCAUCUGUGAAGGACCCCACUGAAAAUCAGACUCUUCAACUCACCUGGCAGCCACUCCCAGAGCCGCUGGAACUCCGGCCCAAGGCUCUCUGACUGACUCCUUCUCACAUUUUCUCGGCUUAGCAGCUGAAGACUGAUGCUGCCCGAUCACCUUGGAAGCCCCGUAGGCCAUCACGGACGCCAAGCUUGAAGUAACUCUCAGAGUAGAAAAUGGAAUCUCACACUGUCGCCCGAGCUGGAGUGCAGUGGCGCGAUCUCAGCUCACUGCAAUCUCCGCCUCCCGGGUUCAAGUGAUUCUCCUGCCUCAGCCUCCCAAGUAGCUGCGAUUACAGUAUUCGUGUGCCGUGAGUCCCACUGACUGCAGUGCUGUUGAGCCGGAGGCUGAGAAAGCUCUAGACCUGAUCAAUAAAAGGCGACGGGAUGGCUACCUUUUCCAAUUG
RNAcentral lists this small RNA (582 nucleotides) under Pan troglodytes (chimpanzee). RNAcentral describes it as "processed transcript". The record is from RNAcentral. Lineage: Eukaryota; Metazoa; Chordata; Mammalia; Primates; Hominidae.